AUGGGAGAGAAGGAAAUCAGACAGCAAGGUCUGAGUAUCUCACCACAGAAACAAUGCGGAAGAAAAGGUGUUCAGCACCCUUCAUGGAGAAUGGUGGCAGAGGAAGGCAAGGGACUUUUUCUCUGCUGCCAUUUAAAUGCAACUCCAGAGAAAGCCAUAACUGCUACAGUACAAAGCCAAGAGAUGCUGAACUCCAUGGCUCUUCCACGCCUGCCUAGAUGACACAAAUCGUCAAAGCUACUGGAUGAGACCUUCCAUGAACAGUAGGUGUUCUAUUUUUUAAAAAAGCAUAGACAGUUUGGGCAGAGUUGUUAAGAAAGUACCUCAGGUGUGGAUGUGAUUGAAUAUCUUCCCUGUAGGCACAGAUUACUGGAGGAGCAUAUUCACAACGAAGGUCCUCAGUGCUCUCCCAUGUGCUAGACCAGACAAAUCUUUAUACUGAGGAACGAAUCAGGACAAAUUACAACCACUUAGAACUUUAAUCCAAUAGCUUUUGUUGAAUCUAACAUAGCUCUAUGAAAUGACAUCCUUCUCAUCCUUCUUUUUUUUUUUUUUUUUUUUUUUUUUUAAUAUAUGCGCCUCUGUAGCUUGGUAAAGACCACAAGGAGUCUAAAAGACAACGAGAGAGUUUCUUACCACACAUAUAAAUAUCCCACCUGGAAAUACUUAACUCCAAAAACAUUCACUGUGCAGCUACUACGUAACAAAGCUUUAUGAUGAAGCCUAUAAUUCCCAUCUAUCUACUUACAUAUGAGUAUAUAACUACCAUGGUUGCACUGGGGGCCUCCCACAGCAACUGGGCAAAUUUUGUUCAUUGUCAGUAGCAGACUGUUUCUGCUGUUGUUUGUUUGUUUAUUUAUAUUUUUAUAUUUUUAUAUUUUUAUAUUAUUAUUAUUAUUAUUAUUAUUAUUAUUAUUAUUAUUAUUAUUAUUUUCUGAAUGACACCUGUAAAACUUGCCCAUGAAUAUUAGCUACUGGUGGAGCAGUAAACAGUAGUUGAAACUGCUGUGGCUAUUUCAGGUACAAUGGACAGUGAACAACUCCUGAUACAAAAACAGUAAAUCCUCAGAUCAGUUUAGAAAUCCAUAUUCUCCUUUUCCAAGUACUCAUUUCAUUCUAACGGUUUGGUGUUUUUCUGCUUUCA
Molecule: long non-coding RNA, 1144 nt
Filed under: Anas platyrhynchos platyrhynchos (common mallard)
Lineage: Eukaryota; Metazoa; Chordata; Aves; Anseriformes; Anatidae
Description: lncRNA (ENSAPLG00000017617.1)
Source: RNAcentral